Molecule: ribosomal RNA, 230 nt
Filed under: uncultured bacterium
Lineage: Bacteria
Description: partial 16S ribosomal RNA
Rfam family: Bacterial small subunit ribosomal RNA
Source: RNAcentral
UAAAGCGUGCGCAGGCGGUUUUGUAAGACUGUCGUGAAAUCCCCGGGCUCAACCUGGGAAUGCGAUGGUGACUGCAAGGCUAGAGUUUGGCAGAGGGGGGUAGAAUUCCACGUGUAGCAGUGAAAUGCGUAGAUAUGUGGAGGAACACCGAUGGCGAAGGCAGCCCCCUGGGUCAAAACUGACGCUCAUGCACGAAAGCGUGGGGAGCAAACAGGAUUAGAUACCCUAGU